Molecule: ribosomal RNA, 412 nt
Filed under: uncultured Rhizophagus
Lineage: Eukaryota; Fungi; Glomeromycota; Glomeromycetes; Glomerales; Glomeraceae
Description: partial 28S ribosomal RNA
Source: RNAcentral
GAGAGUUAAACAGUACGUGAAAUUGUUGAAAGGGAAACGAUUGAAGCCAGUCAUACCUUCGGGUAAUCAGCCUUUCGGGUGCGAUUCUGUGGAGUUUGAGGAGCUUAACACCUUCAUGCUUUGCAUAUUCGUGCUCUUGGGUGUACUUGCUCGUAUGGUUGGUUAACAUCAAUUUUGAUGGUCAUAAAAUGACUGGAGGAAUGUAGCUUCGAUCUCGUAUUGAAGUGUUAUAGCCUUCGGUAGAUGUGAUGAUCGAGAUUGAGGAUUGCAACGGAUACCCUUCGGGGCUACCUGUCUGAUCUCUGAUCGUUGCUCUGGUGCCGAAAGCUUGCUUACGGUUGUCAAAGUCGAUGCUCAAUAGGUUAGAAUGGGUUAAAUUCGUUAAGGAUGUUGACGUAAUGGCUUUAAACGA